UACGAAGGGGGCUAGCGUUGCUCGGAAUCACUGGGCGUAAAGGGUGCGUAGGCGGGGCUUUAAGUCAGGGGGGAAAUCCUGGAGCUCAACUCCAGAACUGCCUUUGAUACUGAGGAUCUUGAGUUCGGGAGAGGUGAGUUGAACUGCGAGUGUAGAGGUGAAAUUCGUAGAUAUUCGCAAGAACACCAGUGGCGAAGGCGGCUCACUGGCCCGAUACUGACGCUGAGGCACGAAAGCGUGGGGAGCAAACAGG
Molecule: ribosomal RNA, 253 nt
Filed under: uncultured bacterium
Lineage: Bacteria
Description: partial 16S ribosomal RNA
Rfam family: Bacterial small subunit ribosomal RNA
Source: RNAcentral